UAAACCGUGGCUCAGUUCAGAUCGUAGGCUGCAACUCGCCUACGUGAAGGAGGAAUCGCUAGUAAUCGCAGGUCAGCAUACUGCGGUGAAUACGUUCCCGGGCCUUGUACACACCGCCCGUCACACCAUGGAAGUUGGCCACGCCCGAAGCCGUUACUCCAACCCUCGGGAGGAGGACGUCGAAGGUGGGGCUGAUGACUGGGGUGAAGUCGUAACAAGGUAUCCGUACCGGAAGGUGCGGAUGGAUCACCUCCUAA
RNAcentral lists this ribosomal RNA (257 nucleotides) under uncultured cyanobacterium. RNAcentral's name for it is "partial 16S ribosomal RNA". It matches the Rfam family "Bacterial small subunit ribosomal RNA", at positions 1277 to 1533 of the family's 1533-position model. Lineage: Bacteria; Bacillati; Cyanobacteriota. The record is from RNAcentral.